GGACCGCUGUCAGCCGCCAGCAAGACUUAUCUGUCCACCCACCAACGGUUUAUCGUCUCUCCACGCCGCCCCUGGAUCCUUCUCUGCUCCUAUGGCUGAACUGGUUAUCCAUUCCAGACUCCUGCUCCGUGUUUUUCUCCUACAGCUUUCCCCCCCUUCAAAUAAACUUUAUUGUUGUUUGUA
This is a long non-coding RNA of Poecilia latipinna (sailfin molly), 183 nucleotides long. RefSeq lists it as uncharacterized. Lineage: Eukaryota; Metazoa; Chordata; Actinopteri; Cyprinodontiformes; Poeciliidae. The record is from RefSeq and is a predicted model, not a curated record. The transcript has 2 exons.